Cinara cedri is the source of this 351-nucleotide non-coding RNA. The record is from the annotation of a GenBank genome assembly. NCBI's taxonomy places the organism in Eukaryota, Metazoa, Arthropoda, Insecta, Hemiptera, Aphididae.
AUGAAUACAAUAAUAAUAUUAUCUCUGUGGUUGAUCGAGAAUAUGAAAUGCCAUACAUACCUAUAUAGACCAAUGAAUCAAUGAAUGAAUCAUUGAUUCUAAACGUUUUUAUUAACGAUCUCCAAAUUGGAUACCUAUACAUUUUUUUCGUCACGCUGAAGUAUGUUUUUAUUUUCCAUAUACCUACGCACUUCGUAAUAAAUUACGUAGGUUACUCACUCAUCCAGAAGAUGGAAAUCAUCGUACAUACGAGGUUUUUUUUCCUAUUGAAGUUUUGUAAUUGACACUGUUAACCGCAAAAUUAUAUUUUCCUUUUAGCUGUCUAGACUAAUACAGAGAGCCGAGGGUUUG